CCUACGGGGGGCAGCAGUGGGGAAUAUUGCACAAUGGGGGAAACCCUGAUGCAGCAACGCCGCGUGAAGGAAGAAGGUUUUCGGAUUGUAAACUUCUGUUCUUAGUGAAGAAAAUGACGGUACCUGAAGAAGAAGCCCCGGCUAACUACGUGCCAGCAGCCGCGGUAAUACGUAGGGGGCAAGCGUUAUCCGGAUUUACUGGGUGUAAAGGGGGCGCAGACGGCGAUGCAAGCCAGAUGUGAAAGCUCGGGGCCCAACCCCGGGACUGCUCUUGGAACUGCGUGGCUGGAGUGCAGGAGGGGCAGGCGGAAUUCCUGGUGUAGCGGUGAAAUGCGUAGAUAUCAGGAGGAACACCAGUGGCGAAGGCGGCUUGCUGGACUGCAACUGACGUUGAGGCCCGAAAGCGUGGGGAGCAAACAGGAUUAGAUACCCCUGUAGUC
This 440-nucleotide ribosomal RNA is filed under the name uncultured bacterium. RNAcentral describes it as "partial 16S ribosomal RNA". It matches the Rfam family "Bacterial small subunit ribosomal RNA", at positions 338 to 795 of the family's 1533-position model. The record is from RNAcentral.